UAUCCAUGUUUGUAAGACUGCUCACAGACUGUUUUACCAGAGAGUUUUCUGGUACUGCAACAUCUACCACUAAUCUCUGUGAUCCCUUUGAAUUGGCAAAAUAAGAAUAGUGCUAUAGAUUUCUUCCAAAUACAGAAAACAUAAGUAUGAAAAUGUUCUUGCUGUUGAUUAUAUUCUUUACCAAUCUGUUUGUAUGGGAUUUUUGGUACUUCACUUGAAAAAUGAGUCCAAGGUACUGUGAUGUGAUUGUUUACUUUGUGUGGCCUUUCUAGCCAUGGUCUUAUAACAUCCACCCUGGUGCUUGGGCAGGACUGUGUGAUAGGGUAAUUGUGGCUCACCAAGAGGAUUGUUUAUUUUGCCUUCAAAGAGAACCAGUUCCAGAGCAAAGAGGAGGAUUCAACUCCCAUCAAGGAAGAACAGCCAAGAGCCGAGCGUAUAUUAUGGACCUGAGAUCCCUGCACUGAGAAGCUCCUAGAAGCAGGAGACUGAGAUAGAGAGAGGAAGCUGUAACCCUGAAGAUGCUUAAAUACAGACCAGAAGAGGAGUUUGGGGCUUGACACCUGACAUCUUAACACCAGUUCCUGUUUCUUGAGGAAGGAAGAGGUAAAAUAAAUCAGCGUUUGCUGUUUCCUUCUCCAUCCCCGGAAGUCCUGAUGAAGACCCUCUCAGGUAAGGAUUGACAGGGAGUGGCUUGGUUUACUAUUCAACUUUGUCCUUCAGUAACUUUGUUUAUGUCCUGCAUGUAAACUGUUGUGCAUUGAGAAGCAUUCUAAUUCUUGUGCAGAAGGACUAGACCUCCUGCAGAAUGACUAUAUUGUGCCUCCCUCGGGCACCCUUGUCUGCGCAGCACCCCCCAAUGCCAACUGCCCAACCGCCUCUCUCCUGGCAUUCUGCUUCUAGAAGCAUGUUCUUUUGAUGCAGAGAUGCAGCACACACAGAAUCCCAGCUGGAUUACAGACUUGAACCUGAAGACCUUAUGCAGAAUGACAAUUUAUGAACCACUAAGCUCAGUACUAAAGCAGCUUCAACUUGAACGUGAAUAUGAGCAACUGAUCAUCUGUUCUGCAGUCAGCCCCUGCCCUGAUUCUGACUCAUGAUAUUGACCAAGUGAAGAGUGAUUCAGAGAAAAACAUGGAUAGAGUGUGACCUAAUUUCCAUAAAAACAAACAAAUGAAUGUACUUACAUGUGUCCCGGCAAAAAGAAGUGUGUAAAAGGGUACAUAUGUAUCUUUGGACACUGGACACUUCAGGGGAGCAGGUAUAAUAUACUUAUGUGGGGAUGGCUCUUAUUAUAACUUCUAUAUACAAAUCUCUAUUGUUAAAUGUGUUAUAAGAAUGUAAAAGCUUUUAAAGUUUAAUAACAUCAUACGUGUAUGUGUGUGUAUUUGAAACUUUUUUUCUUUUGACUAUUUUAUAUAUGUGUUUUUUAGUUAUCUAGUUUUUUUUUUAGUGUGGCUAUAGCAGAGAUACCAAAAGUGGAUGGCUUUAACAAACAGAAACUUAUUCUCUCACAGUUUAAGAAGCAACAAGUUUGAAGUCAGGGCACCAGGUCUAGGAGAAAGCUCUCUCUCUUUGUGGCUCUGGGGGAAGGUCCUUGUCAUCUAUCUUCCCCUGGCCUAGGAAAUUCUCAGCGCGUGGACACUGGGUCAAAAAGACGUGCUCCACUCCAGGCACUUCUUCCUUGGUGGUAUGAGGUCCCUCUCAUUUCCGCUCACUCUUCUCUUUGUAUCUCAAAAGAGACUGACUCAAGACUCACCCUAAUCCUGUAGAUUGUGUCCUCCCUCAUUAACCUAACUGCCUCUAAUCCCGCCUUAUUUACAUCACAGAGGUUAGAAUUUACAACACAUAAGUAAUCACAUCAGAUCACAAAAUGCAGGACAACCACACAAUACUGGGAAUCAUGGUCUGGCCAGGUUGGCACACAUUUUGGGGGACACUAUUCAAUCCAUAACAACAGAGAAAACACUGUCUUCAAUGCCAGAUUCAGAGACUUUUAUCAAUCUAUGAAGGGCAAACACAGAAAUUGAACAAAAUUCAGACCAGCGAAUUAUUGCUUGCUCUUGUAACUAAUGACUUCUUCUGGUCUCUGUACCUGGAAAUGGCCAAAAAGAAUUCUGUGAGGAUUAAUUCAGUUAUUGCUAAAACAUCUACUGCAUUUACAUGUCUACAGAUAAGGAAUAAUGCUGGACACCAUGUGUGAUUCAUUAAGUAACACAGGGACUAUUAGACUGUUGUUCUCCUUCUCUGAUAUGCCACUAUCACCUUCUCCCCUUGUUGCUCUCCUGAAAAACCCACACUUGUAUAUUCUAGGCUUUUUUCCAGGAUUGAAUUUGCAGGAAGUUGAAGAUACAUCUUUGAAAGAUAAAGAAGACUUUGGCCACAUUGUCUUUAGACAGUCGAACUUCCCAGCCAGCCUCUGUGCAGGAUGGGAAUUCACAAUCCCUCCUACUCAGUACCUCUGAGCAGGACGGGAUUUCUGUUUCAUUAUCAGGAGACUGUGGAAUUCACCCCUCUUCAGAAAACUUACUUUCCUUUGCCUCAAACUGUCCCUCUCAGGAUCUGUCACGGUCACUCUGAGAAAUUCACAUGGGCAGCCUGUAUGGAAGUGCCCAUCCUAGAGUCCCUGCCCUCCCUUCCUUGCUCCGUAGGGCUUCCUCCGACACUUGGGGUCACAUCUCCCAGGGAGUACACACCUCUGGCACUUCCAGGGAUUCCCAGGCCCUGGGAUACUGUGGAUGGGACUUGGAACUCAAUCUGUUUCUUCCCAUCCUCACCUUUGGUUAUCUGUGUUCUGUCUUCACCAGAUUUAGGAGGCCUUGUCUUCUCUUUGCUCAUUUCAUUUCAGUCAGGCUUUUCUAUUCCAACUCUCUGAUCUCAGGACACAUCAGGUUAGACCACAGAAAAGAGAAAGACCAAGCAAACAUCACUGAUCUGUGCAGAAGCUGCUGGGAAGGGAUUCGAUUCUCAUUGGUUUAGGGUUUUAAGCCCACUGCUCACCGGCAGGCAGGUUCCCCCCAGAGUCUGGCUUCUGUCUGGUACCUUGUACUACAAAGAACUCAGUGACCAGCCCACCUUCACAAUCACACCUCCCUUAGAGCUAUCUUUGCAGAGGCUGUUUCUCAGACUUCCAUGUCCCACUGAAAUCCCAUUUCUCUUUCCUUACAAACAUUGUGCUCAUUCUCAGGGCCCUGAGACCUCAUCUGCAGGUGAGUCUUGUCCUCUUCUCUCCUUGGCGGGGGGAGCUUUGGAGUGGACCUCAUGUCUUUGGACAGCUAUCCUGGGGCUUCUUCCACCCUGGUGCUCUAGGGCUGCAUCUCUCCAUGUACUUGAGGGGUCGUGGAAGGGGCACAAGGCUAAAAGAGUGGAUCUUCCAGGUGAGGUGGGUUUAAGAAGCCUGAAUGAAGUUCUUCCCUGAAGGGUGCAUAUUUUGCAGUCCAGACAUCCUGCUCCUCUCAGUCUAAGUGUCCUAGCACGUCUUCAGGUGCUUUCUCCUUUGACCUUGAGGCCAUGCCUGCACCCUCUGCAGCCAGGUCUCCGACAUGUGUAGCAGCACCAGUAGGUGUGGUAGCCUCUUCAGCCCCUGUCUCCUCCUCCAGAUGCUCCUGGAGGUGCCUGGCUCUUCUUGCCAGGACUCCAGGAUGCUGACCAGGGACUCAGUGUUGGUUAGACUGAGGGCAGACCUGAUGGCACUCACUUUCUUCAAAAACUCGGCCUCAAGACCAGGGGCCUUUUGCCGACAGGGGUGUGAGAUGUUUUGGUCUGGUCUGCCAGACCAUGGCUAACCCCUUGACCUUACACACUUGGGUAGAAUACUCAUACUUGACCUAUGGAUCUCUGGAGUAAUUUGAUGAGUGGGAAUUCUGCCUAGUGGAAGCUGAUGCAAAAGGCCUCGCUGAUACUUGGGGAAUCUUCCUGGGCUUGGAACUUGGGCUUUUUGUUCUCAUGUUCUACCCUGAGUGACACUUUCCUCUUGGGUUGAGACUUGCAAUAAUGGAGAGUUAAUUUACAUGAGCCCUCUGGGCUCUGGUGUCUCAACUGUGACCUAAGUCUCUGGUCUAGGCAUCCCUGGAGGCCUCUCCAUCACCACCAUCCUCCACUUCCACAGUCCCCAUGGUUUCUUUCUUCUUCCCCAGGCACAGACCAUACUUUAGGGAAUUUACUCUGGGCAAU
Long non-coding RNA from Loxodonta africana (African savanna elephant), 4170 nucleotides. RefSeq lists it as uncharacterized. The transcript has 3 exons. NCBI's taxonomy places the organism in Eukaryota, Metazoa, Chordata, Mammalia, Proboscidea, Elephantidae. The record is from RefSeq and is a predicted model, not a curated record.